Molecule: ribosomal RNA, 1268 nt
Filed under: Mycobacterium sp.
Lineage: Bacteria; Bacillati; Actinomycetota; Actinomycetes; Mycobacteriales; Mycobacteriaceae
Description: bacterial SSU rRNA
Rfam family: Bacterial small subunit ribosomal RNA
Source: RNAcentral
UGCAAGUCGAACGGAAAGGCCCUUUCGGGGGUGCUCGAGUGGCGAACGGGUGAGUAACACGUGGGUGAUCUGCCCUGCACUUUGGGAUAAGCCUGGGAAACUGGGUCUAAUACCGAAUACACCUCGCUGGCUGCAUGGCCUGGUGGGGGAAAGCUUUUGCGGUGUGGGAUGGGCCCGCGGCCUAUCAGCUUGUUGGUGGGGUGAUGGCCUACCAAGGCGACGACGGGUAGCCGGCCUGAGAGGGUGUCCGGCCACACUGGGACUGAGAUACGGCCCAGACUCCUACGGGAGGCAGCAGUGGGGAAUAUUGCACAAUGGGCGCAAGCCUGAUGCAGCGACGCCGCGUGAGGGAUGACGGCCUUCGGGUUGUAAACCUCUUUCAGCAUCGACGAAGCGCAAGUGACGGUAGAUGCAGAAGAAGCACCGGCCAACUACGUGCCAGCAGCCGCGGUAAUACGUAGGGUGCGAGCGUUGUCCGGAAUUACUGGGCGUAAAGAGCUCGUAGGUGGUUUGUCGCGUUGUCCGUGAAAACUCACAGCUUAACUGUGGGCGUGCGGGCGAUACGGGCAGACUGGAGUACUGCAGGGGAGACUGGAAUUCCUGGUGUAGCGGUGGAAUGCGCAGAUAUCAGGAGGAACACCGGUGGCGAAGGCGGGUCUCUGGGCAGUAACUGACGCUGAGGAGCGAAAGCGUGGGGAGCGAACAGGAUUAGAUACCCUGGUAGUCCACGCCGUAAACGGUGGGUACUAGGUGUGGGUUUCCUUCCUUGGGAUCCGUGCCGUAGCUAACGCAUUAAGUACCCCGCCUGGGGAGUACGGCCGCAAGGCUAAAACUCAAAGGAAUUGACGGGGGCCCGCACAAGCGGCGGAGCAUGUGGAUUAAUUCGAUGCAACGCGAAGAACCUUACCUGGGUUUGACAUGCACAGGACGCCGGCAGAGAUGUCGGUUCCCUUGUGGCCUGUGUGCAGGUGGUGCAUGGCUGUCGUCAGCUCGUGUCGUGAGAUGUUGGGUUAAGUCCCGCAACGAGCGCAACCCUUGUCUCAUGUUGCCAGCACGUUAUGGUGGGGACUCGUGAGAGACUGCCGGGGUCAACUCGGAGGAAGGUGGGGAUGACGUCAAGUCAUCAUGCCCCUUAUGUCCAGGGCUUCACACAUGCUACAAUGGCCGGUACAAAGGGCUGCGAUGCCGUGAGGUGGAGCGAAUCCUUUCAAAGCCGGUCUCAGUUCGGAUCGGGGUCUGCAACUCGACCCCGUGAAGUCGGAGUCGCU